Molecule: microRNA, 22 nt
Filed under: Panagrellus redivivus
Lineage: Eukaryota; Metazoa; Nematoda; Chromadorea; Rhabditida; Panagrolaimidae
Description: prd-miR-7971-3p
Source: miRBase by way of RNAcentral
UUGAACAACUAAUUAACGCUGC